Molecule: long non-coding RNA, 1039 nt
Filed under: Varroa destructor (honeybee mite)
Lineage: Eukaryota; Metazoa; Arthropoda; Arachnida; Mesostigmata; Varroidae
Description: uncharacterized LOC111250654, transcript variant X3
Source: RNAcentral
UCUAGAAAAAUACCAUUAGAAUUGCUUACGAAAUAGAUGACACGGAAAAGCAGGAACUGUCCUCGCUAUGCCACUGACCUUGAUAAGUGUCAAGUUUGGUCGUUAAUGCGCGGCAGACAUAACAUCAGUUACUGGAUUUUAGGCUCGUGUAAGGGCCAACGAAUGCCAUGAGAAUUCGAAAACCCCGCGGACUUUCCUCACCGACAAUUUUCCUUGGAUGCGCAUUAGGCUUUGCUGCUACCUAUUAUACAUGGUAUCCACUCAUUCAAGCUCAAAACGAACUUUCUCAUGAAAAAAAAACUAUCGCAGAUAAGAUAGGAAAGGAGCUACAGGAAAAGAAGACCGUGGCUGCUGCUUCUGCGACGCUUAACGAAAAGUAGUUCUUCCUCAGACGUAGAGAUAAGCCGCUUGAGGAAUGAAUAAGCCCAGAGUAAGUUACCAUUCACCAAGAUCAACUGCGGGUUCUGGAACAGGCAUUAUAAAGGGCGGAUUUUUUAUGGUUGUCGCAAUCGGUGUAGGUUAUGCUGUAUAUAAGUAUCUUGGCUUUCGAGAUUACCUACUUGAUCGCAAAUCACGUCGCAUGGAGGUUACCGUCCAGAAGUAUCUUGCCAUGCAAGAAAAAAGCGACACGCGAUGCAAAUGUACUGGUAGCUGGUGUGAAUGCGAAAAUAAGGCUAGAGCGCGCUUGGUAGAACAAUAUCGACAACAACAAGAACAAACCCAACCCGCGUCGACCACACCGGCUUUAUGAACAGGGAUUGUGCUCUUAGUAAGAAGAAGGCUAAAACUUUGCUCAGCAGUUUCGCGUUGCUCUAUGUCAAUGUGUGACGGGAUUUGAAAUGAGAGGAAAAACUGCUUGACCUAUAUUGGAUUUUAAAGUGUAAUAGAUAUAUCAUGGAUAAUUAUUAAGAAAGGCGUGCCUUUAUACAUUUUUGAAACAGUAAAUAAAAGUAGUAGAAAAAGCUCGUAAUGGUGAAAAGCAGUGCGUCAUUUUGUAAGUUCAGCAAACAUAAGCUAUUAUAGAAUAUCUUCGCUCUAA